Molecule: ribosomal RNA, 277 nt
Rfam family: Bacterial small subunit ribosomal RNA
UUUUAUGGAGAGUUUGAUCCUGGCUCAGGAUGAACGCUGGCGGCGUGCCUAAUACAUGCAAGUCGAGCGAACGGAUGAGAAGCUUGCUUCUCUGAUGUUAGCGGCGGACGGGUGAGUAACACGUGGAUAACCUACCUAUAAGACUGGGACAACUUCGGGAAACCGGAGCUAAUACCGGAUAAUAUUUUGAACCGCAUGGUUCAAAAGUGAAAGACGGUCUUGCUGUCACUUAUAGAUGGAUCCGCGCUGCAUUAGCUAGUUGGUAAGGUAACGGCUU